AACGAAGUGACUCUAACAUCGGUU
RNAcentral lists this microRNA (24 nucleotides) under Glycine max (soybean). Its description in RNAcentral is "gma-miR4359a". Lineage: Eukaryota; Viridiplantae; Streptophyta; Magnoliopsida; Fabales; Fabaceae. The record is from miRBase by way of RNAcentral.